GUCAAGUGGCCGAGUUGGUCUAAGGCACCAGUUUCAGGUACUAGUCCAAAAGGGUAUGGGUUCGAAUUCCAUUCUUGACA
This 80-nucleotide transfer RNA is filed under the name Nelumbo nucifera (sacred lotus). It matches the Rfam family "tRNA". Rfam says of the family: Transfer RNA (tRNA) molecules are approximately 80 nucleotides in length. Their secondary structure includes four short double-helical elements and three loops (D, anti-codon, and T loops). Lineage: Eukaryota; Viridiplantae; Streptophyta; Magnoliopsida; Proteales; Nelumbonaceae. The record is from Rfam by way of RNAcentral.